Molecule: ribosomal RNA, 492 nt
Filed under: uncultured bacterium
Lineage: Bacteria
Description: partial 16S ribosomal RNA
Rfam family: Bacterial small subunit ribosomal RNA
Source: RNAcentral
AGUGAACGCUAGCGGUAGGCCUAACACAUGCAAGUCGAACGGCAGCACAGUAAGAGCUUGCUCUUACGGGUGGCGAGUGGCGGACGGGUGAGGAAUACAUCGGAAUCUACUUUUUCGUGGGGGAUAACGUAGGGAAACUUACGCUAAUACCGCAUACAACCUACGGGUGAAAGCAGGGGAUCUUCGGACCUUGCGCGAUUGAAUGAGCCGAUGUCGGAUUAGCUAGUUGGCGGGGUAAAGGCCCACCAAGGCGACGAUCCGUAGCUGGUCUGAGAGGAUGAUCAGCCACACUGGAACUGAGACACGGUCCAGACUCCUACGGGAGGCAGCAGUGGGGAAUAUUGGACAAUGGGCGCAAGCCUGAUCCAGCCAUACCGCGUGGGUGAAGAAGGCCUUCGGGUUGUAAAGCCCUUUUGUUGGGAAAGAAAAGCAGCAGGUUAAUACCCCGCUGUUCUGACGGUACCCAAAGAAUAAGCACCGGCUAACUUCGUG